Molecule: ribosomal RNA, 808 nt
Filed under: uncultured Polaribacter sp.
Lineage: Bacteria; Pseudomonadati; Bacteroidota; Flavobacteriia; Flavobacteriales; Flavobacteriaceae
Description: bacterial SSU rRNA
Rfam family: Bacterial small subunit ribosomal RNA
Source: RNAcentral
UGCAAGUCGAGGGUAACAUUGUGCUUGCACAGAUGACGACCGGCGCACGGGUGCGUAACGCGUAUAGAACCUACCUUUUACAGAGGAAUAGCCUUUAGAAAUGAAGAUUAAUGCCUCAUGGUAUUGUAGACUGGCAUCAGUUUAUAAUUAAAGAUUUAUCGGUAAAAGAUGGCUAUGCGUCCUAUUAGUUAGUUGGUAAGGUAACGGCUUACCAAGACAGCGAUAGGUAGGGGUCCUGAAGAAGGGAGAUCCCCCACACUGGUACUGAGACACGGACCAGACUCCUACGGGAGGCAGCAGUGAGGAAUAUUGGACAAUGGAGGAGACUCUGAUCCAGCCAUGCCGCGUGUAGGAAGAAUGCCCUAUGGGUUGUAAACUACUUUUAUACAGGAAGAAACACUGGUAUGUAUACCAGCUUGACGGUACUGUAAGAAUAAGGACCGGCUAACUCCGUGCCAGCAGCCGCGGUAAUACGGAGGGUCCGAGCGUUAUCCGGAAUCAUUGGGUUUAAAGGGUCCGCAGGCGGUCGAUUAAGUCAGAGGUGAAAUCCCAUAGCUCAACUAUGGAACUGCCUUUGAUACUGGUUGACUUGAGUCAUAUGGAAGUAGAUAGAAUGUGUAGUGUAGCGGUGAAAUGCAUAGAUAUUACACAGAAUACCGAUUGCGAAGGCAGUCUACUACGUAUGUACUGACGCUGAGGGACGAAAGCGUGGGGAGCGAACAGGAUUAGAUACCCUGGUAGUCCACGCCGUAAACGAUGGAUACCAGUUGUUGGGAUUUAUCUCAGUGACUAAGCGAAAGUGAUAAGU